RNAcentral lists this non-coding RNA (96 nucleotides) under Ochromonas sp. CCMP1393. The record is from RNAcentral. Lineage: Eukaryota; Chrysophyceae; Chromulinales; Chromulinaceae.
CCCGGAAGAGAGCAGGGCAACCUUUGAUGCCAUGCUCAAGGAGGUCCCUGGCGGCACCCACGGCGGCGAGGGUACGAUGGGCUUUAUCCACUACGG